GCAAAUCUUUAUUUUUCAAAGAUUCCUCUUCCUCCUCCUCCUUUCCAAAUGUUGCGUUUCAUCUUUUCCAAAGACCUCAAAAGCUACUAGAUUAUCAUUAAAAAAUAAACACAUUUUCAAAGGCCAUUAGCCCGAGGGGAGGUCCUGAGUCGUCCAAAGGUUCUCCAGCGGGCAAGCAAGAAAGACAGCACUCCUGCCCCGAUCCGUACACACUGGAGCAUCCAGACUGACUAAUGAACAGCAUUUUCAGUUAAUUGUACCUUUUAAAACUUUCUGCUGUUUACAUCACUGUGACACGUGUAUCCUGAGUACAACUCUUACUAUUAACCCUUUUGAGGCUGGCAGUGGUUUCAGUUUCUUCGUGCUCUUUCGCCUAGUACCCAGAAAAGUAAGUCAUUUUCUCUAAAUUUAUCAUCUUUUCUACUGUGUCAUUGACCUAUCUGAAUAUAUUCUGUUCUCUUAAUCUUUCAGUCUGAAUUAAAUAAAGAAUUCACAUUUGGAUCUUAUUUUAAGUACUCCUCGAAGUUUCAAUUCCCGUUGGAGAUUUUUUAAAGCCUGGAGCAGUGGAGGAGCUAAAAAGAGAAGAGAGGUCAGGUGAUUCAGAGCGCCAGUUCAAAUCAAUUCAAGAAAUAUUUAUUGAGCGUCUGAAUGUGCCAGAUACAAAAGAUGAAGAUCUUCUUUCAAGAAGCUCACAGUCUGAUGGGGAGAUGACAUGUGGGGGAAUUAGAACAAUAGUCCAGGGUUCUUUUUGAGGAAGAGUACCCCUG
RNAcentral lists this long non-coding RNA (767 nucleotides) under Equus asinus (donkey). RNAcentral describes it as "lncRNA (ENSEASG00005031689.1)". The record is from RNAcentral. Lineage: Eukaryota; Metazoa; Chordata; Mammalia; Perissodactyla; Equidae.